AUUGAACGCUGGCGAAAUGCUUUACACAUGCAAGUCGAGCGGCAGCGCGGGGCAACCUGGCUGCGAGCGGCGAACGGGUGAGUAAUACAGCGGAACGUACCCAGUUGCGGGGAUAGCCCGGCGAAAGCCGGAUUAAUACCGCAUACGACCCGAGGGUGAAAGCGGGGGCUCGCAAGACCUCGCGCAGUUGGAGCGGCCGAGGGCGGAUUAGCUAGUUGGUAGGGUAAAAGCCUACCAAGCCUGCGAUCGGUAGCUGGUCUGAGAGGACGACCAGCCACACUGGGACUGAGACACGGCCCAGACUCCUACGGGAGGCAGCAGUGGGGAAUUUUGGACAAUGGGGGAAACCCUGAACCAGCAAUGCCGCGUGUGUGAAGAAGGCCUUCGGGUUGUAAAGCACUUUUGGUGGGAACGAAACGGCGCUUGCUAAUACCAGGCGCUAAUGACGGUACCCGCAGAAUAAGCACCGGCUAACUACGUGCCAGCAGCCGCCGUAA
Molecule: ribosomal RNA, 497 nt
Filed under: uncultured bacterium
Lineage: Bacteria
Description: partial 16S ribosomal RNA
Rfam family: Bacterial small subunit ribosomal RNA
Source: RNAcentral